CCUGGGAGCUGCCAGGCUGCUGUGAGGGCCUGGGCUUGAACUGUACCAAUUUUUCAAAAAAAGAAGAAGAAAUUGAAGAGCAGAUGAUUUCAUAACGGUUGGCCACUGAUGCUUUACAGAGCUGCAGGUCAGAGCUCCUGGGAAGGCAGAAACCCAUCCCUCACCCUUUCCUCUGAAUUUGAGUGAGGCUCACGGUGAGCACAGUGCCAGCACCACGCAGGGUCCUGUCUCCGGCGCUGGGUGGUGCCAACCAUUUCAGACACUGCUUCCCAUAAGUAAUGCUGCAGUGAUACAGCAUCAGUGUAAGUUCUAGGAAACAGGCAAGGUGCCCAGCCAACACGUAGAGCCAGGGCCUGGGCAGGGAAUGGCAUGCGUCACAUCAGACACAGCUUUUGGGGGUGGGUGUGGAGAGAGCAUCCAAUUGCACAAAUAGACAGUUUUCAGGACAUCGUCAAAGCAGAGUGAAACUCUUCUCAUCAGGUAGCCAAGCCCUAACGCUGACUGAGCAGCCCUGAAAAUCCAUGCUGGCAGGCUUUGUGCAAAUACGCCGUCCCUGCCAUAACAACCUGCUGACAAGCCAAGGGCAGAAAGGUAAGUUUUUUCCUGUCAUGCCAGGGGGGGAAAAACACCACAACAAACAACAACAACAACAACUAACUUUCUUUUAAAUAAACAAGCACUUUUUGAACCACAGGAGAGCACAUAGCUAACGUCUGUUAAGCGAAUAGCAGCAACGCGUUUAAGUCUAGCUCAGCGCGUGUCUGCAAAGCGGUUUUUGUGUUGCUUUUGCUGUAAUGUUUCUAGAAGACGGGCUGAAAAAGGCGGUUUCCUUUCAUUUCCAGUUAGCAUCACAGAGAAAACUUCAGCGCACCUCACGCCUACAGCACCCCUCCGGCCGAACCGCAGCGCCCCGCCCGCCCGCCAUCACGCACGCGCCCCGGGCCGGGCGAUGACGCCACGUUUAUUCGGUGCCUGAAGGACGGAAGCGCCGUGCAGCGCUCAGGAAAUGGCGGCGCUGCGGGCCGGGCGCGUGGCGCGGCGUGUCAUGGCGGCGCGGCUCGCUGCUGGGAAACGUAAGACGGACCGAGGAAGGACGGGACGCGGUACCCAGCCGGGCAGCUCCGCGAGGUCAGCCCCGCUCGGCCUGUGAUGCCCUCCAGUGGCAGCCGCGUGUGCUGCCGUGCUGGACGAGGGGAGCGGGAAGAGCGUCCGAAGUGCUUCGUGUCCCGGGAUGCAGAGAUAUCUCUGUUGCUGCCUUAGCAGUCUCAUAUGCCAUCCCUGCUGAUGACCACUGAGUCAUGCUCUGAAAAGCUGGCUGUUCCUGUGAUCUGCAGAUUCAUUGAGCCAGCAACGUAGUGGCAGAGCUGUUUGGUACUCUUAGAGCCUCAGUUGCACAGUGUGCAAGUACCUCGUAGCUGGCUCAGCGAAUCAGUCCUUGCAGCGCAUCUGUGAGAUGGUUGUCUGGGUUGAUGUAACAUCAGAGAUGAGCAGCUCAUCCUGGAGCCAGAAUAAGAUCUUUCUCUCAUUGUAAAGAGCGUGGCGUUCAGUUUUGGCAGAUAAAGGUUAAAUAUGCUCCGCUGUAUGGAAGCUGGACCUUGAAUCAAGGCAUAUGUUUUUAACUGAAGGGAGAAGAAGGUGUUAAAACAAUCCUGAAGUGUGGUGCUCUCUCACUGCUUUGUUCACUGUACACUUUAGCUGCUGUUCUCUGGUACAGCCUUUCAAUAUGUUAGCAUUGCUCACCUGGCCACCUUGUGCCCUGUGUAUUAACAGUGGUUGCAGGCUUAGUCACCUGUUUGUAGGAGACACAAGUUGUGCUCAUUGCAAGACACUGAAAUUGUCUGACCUGCCUCAUAGGAGGUUGGACAAGAUAAUCAUAACAGCACUUUUCUGUCUUGGAAGUCUGUGAAUUCCUGGUGGGCUAAGAAAUGAAGCUAUACUUGCAUAGUUCAGUGCUGCCAAAAACAAAACCCGUUUUGUUUUUCAAGCUGUAAGUCAGUAUUCAAAUGAAGAAGGCACUAAUCACUGUUCUAAGAGCAUAUUCUGCUCCUGUUUUCAUGGUUUCUGAAAAGCUUAUUUUGCGGAAACGCAUUUCUUCAUUUCUCAGCCAUUUGGAGAAAAACAGACAAGCUUUUGGCACACAUUUCUACAUCAAGUCUCUCUAAAUUUUGCCAAGCUUUAUUUAUAAGGACCGUGUCUACUGUAGAGACAACCUGUUCCUGACAAACCGCUAGAAUAGAAAAUUUGAACCAAUUAUUUUUGUAAUGAAUGUACAAUAAAUCUGUUGAAAAGC
Non-coding RNA from Phasianus colchicus (ring-necked pheasant), 2290 nucleotides. The record is from RefSeq and is a predicted model, not a curated record. Lineage: Eukaryota; Metazoa; Chordata; Aves; Galliformes; Phasianidae.